GGCUGGUGGGGGAGCGCAGCGAUGUUCACAACUAAUUGAUCACAACCAGUGACAGAUUCCUUUGUUCCUUCUCCACUCCCACUGCUUCAUUUGACUAUCCUUUA
Molecule: Y RNA, 104 nt
Filed under: Propithecus coquereli (Coquerel's sifaka)
Lineage: Eukaryota; Metazoa; Chordata; Mammalia; Primates; Indriidae
Description: Y RNA (ENSPCOG00000005915.1)
Rfam family: Y RNA
About the family: Y RNAs are components of the Ro ribonucleoprotein particle (Ro RNP), in association with Ro60 and La proteins.
Source: Rfam by way of RNAcentral